GCCGAGCUUGGUAACGGAAGCUUGUAACCUGCGUGGGGGCAUUAGGGUGAUAGAACACGGGUUCGUUUCACUGAGUUGGAUCCAUCGUGGUCUGUUUCUGGCUGGCCCAUUCCAAGCCGAGAAGUUGAGUCAAAGGGAAUUGAGUGAAAGCUCGGGUUCUCGUGAGUCUUAGAGCGGAGAGUACUGCGUGAGGCUGGAUUCACAGAGCAGCGAGUAUCUCCCGCUGUCGGCAGUGGAAGGAUAAGAAGUUGGUUCCACUCGGAUCCAUCAUAGCUCAAUGAGUUGACCCCUGACCUGAACCAUCAUUUUU
RNAcentral lists this signal recognition particle RNA (310 nucleotides) under Gossypium hirsutum (cotton). RNAcentral describes it as "Plant signal recognition particle RNA". It matches the Rfam family "Plant signal recognition particle RNA". Lineage: Eukaryota; Viridiplantae; Streptophyta; Magnoliopsida; Malvales; Malvaceae. The record is from Rfam by way of RNAcentral.